GUCCCAGUUCGGAUCGCAGGCUGCAACCCGCCUGCGUGAAGUUGGAAUCGCUAGUAAUCGCGGAUCAGCAUGCCGCGGUGAAUACGUUCCCGGGCCUUGUACACACCGCCCGUCACACCAUGAGAGUCGGGAACACCCGAAGUCCGUAGCCUAACCGCAAGGGGGGCGCGGCCGAAGGUGGGUUCGAUAAUUGGGGUGAAGUCGUAACAAGGUAAC
Molecule: ribosomal RNA, 216 nt
Filed under: uncultured bacterium
Lineage: Bacteria
Description: partial 16S ribosomal RNA
Rfam family: Bacterial small subunit ribosomal RNA
Source: RNAcentral